Long non-coding RNA from Megalopta genalis, 520 nucleotides. RefSeq lists it as uncharacterized. Lineage: Eukaryota; Metazoa; Arthropoda; Insecta; Hymenoptera; Halictidae. The record is from RefSeq and is a predicted model, not a curated record.
GUGUUUUAUUAUCAUUUCUGUACAUGCAAAACCAUAUCGGUACAACGAAAUUCAACGCUAUCAAACCGCUCGGCUCGCGGUCGGCUCGUCGGCGAGUAUAAAUGGACCUUUAAAGUCGGUAUCGAUAACUUCCUGGAAUCGUUCGUGCAUGCUGCAACCAUGAUUUGUUCGAAGCCAGCCAGUUCAAUCACUCGGUUCUUCGCGCUUGGUUCUUUUUACAUAGAUAAGUUAAGCGUUGAUACUCCCUUAUCAGCGUUGAUAAGAUUUCGGUUUUUGUACGAAUAGCGGAUAGGUUGACAACGUGAACGAAGGAAGAACGGACGUGCCGAGCAACUUCGAUCACUUUCCACGUGGAAUUUCACGCCUACGUGGAACCGGCGGAGCAUCGAAGUCAACUGAAAUCUCAAUGAGCGGGUUGUUGCAUUUUAUGCGGAUUAUUGAAACUACAAAGGCGCUUUCGUUGAGCACAUAUUAUAAUAAAAAUUGCACAAAGACUAAAUAAACGCAAUCUUACGAUUUU